GUCUACGGCCAUACCACCCUGAACGCACCCAAUCUCGUCUGAUCUCGGAAGCUAAGCAGGGUCGGGCCUGGUUAGUACUUGGAUGGGAGAAGUAAAGGGAGGAAGUUUAGUUGAAAAUU
This 119-nucleotide ribosomal RNA is filed under the name Microcebus murinus (gray mouse lemur). The record is from RNAcentral. Lineage: Eukaryota; Metazoa; Chordata; Mammalia; Primates; Cheirogaleidae.